Molecule: small RNA, 588 nt
Filed under: Geotrichum sp. KAUh7
Lineage: Eukaryota; Fungi; Ascomycota; Dipodascomycetes; Dipodascales; Dipodascaceae
Description: eukaryotic LSU rRNA
Rfam family: 5.8S ribosomal RNA (bases 81-229)
Source: RNAcentral
AAGGGGAACGUAGCUGGUAGUAAAUUUGUGACGUACUACGAACAAACAAAAAAUAUUAUAGUCAAAAAAAAUUAAAUCAAAACUUUUAACAAUGGAUCUCUUGGUUCUCGUAUCGAUGAAGAACGCAGCGAAACGCGAUAUUUCUUGUGAAUUGCAGAAGUGAAUCAUCAGUUUUUGAACGCACAUUGCACUUUGGGGUAUCCCCCAAAGUAUACUUGUUUGAGCGUUGUUUCUCUCUUGGAAUUGCAUUUGCUUUUCUAAAAAAUCGAAUCAAAUUCGUUUGAAACUUCAUUUAUUUCAACCUCAGAUCAAGUAGGAUUACCCGCUGAACUUAAGCAUAUCAAUAGGCGGAGGAACCUCAAGCCCGGCUGGGGUGUCGGCACGCCGGCCCCCUCUCCGGGGGGACGGGCCCGAAAGGCAGCGGCGGCACCGCGUCCGAUCCUCGAGCGUAUGGGGCUUUGUCACAUGCGCUGUAGGAUUGGCCGGCGCCUGCCGACGCUUUCCAACCAUUCUUUCCAGGUUGACCUCGGAUCAGGUAGGGAUACCCGCAUGAACUUAAGCAUAUCAAUAAGCCGGAGGAAAGAACAA